Molecule: long non-coding RNA, 3517 nt
Organism: Triplophysa rosa
Lineage: Eukaryota; Metazoa; Chordata; Actinopteri; Cypriniformes; Nemacheilidae
Exons: 5
Source: RefSeq, a predicted model, not a curated record
GGCAACAAGUUUUAAACUCUUUCAGAUUUAACUUUCAAAGUAAUUGUUUUAUUUUGAAGCGAUGACCUGCUAUUUGGUUGCAGGAGUGAAAAUAUACAACACAAACACAAAUUCUAUGCUUCACUAAACCAAAAACACAAAUAAAAGCUCACACUCACAGAUGUUCCUAAGAAUUAUUUCUGUUUAUUUUUGUUUUCUACAUAAAACCACACGGGUCAAUAAAACCUCAAAGAUGACAUGCAGUGUCACACAAGCAUUACGAGAUGAGGUUUUUGUUAAGCCUCCAGAUUCAUAAUAUAUCAAAAUAUGCUCCCAUCAAUUUCAUCCACUGCUCUGUUUGUAAUGUGUUCUGUAAUUCAAAUGUCAUUUCAGCCCCCAGUGUUUUCAGUUCUCUUCUCGAGCCUCGCAUCUUAUGUUUUAAUGCAACAAAAACAACCCCUUUCUGCAUCCCAUGGCGGAUCUCAUUCUUGUUGACCUUCCGUAGGAGAUGCCCUCUGUCCUUCCUGCGAAAAGGCGAGGUAGAAAGGCAUCGAGAAGCAGAGGAAUUGGAGGGAGGGGUGUAUAAUCUGCAGGUCUCUGGGGACAUUCUGCAGGUGCACUCAUCUGCUGGCCUUGAGAGAGAGACCCAAUUUUCCCUAUCAUUCAUUGAAGGGCAGCCAAGAAGUCUACAGAAGAAGUGCACAGGGUGGAAGUAUGGAUUGGCUGGGAUAAUGUUGAGAGCAGCCUGCAUUAUCACAAUACCCUUGCAAGAUCAAUACCUGAAUGCCUGAAACUUCAGUAUCUAUAGUGAAUGAAAAGAAGAUAGACAGUCAUACAUGUUCGGCAAGAAAUGAGGGGGCAGAACGUUGUGCCAGGGAGGAUUGGAGAUGACAGGGAGAUAAAUUUAUCCGACUUCCUUCCUUCCCUUUCAAAUUAACAACAUGCCCUCUGGUCCUCUAGAAUGCAAACUCAAUCAUAAAGCCUGUCUCUCAUCUCGUACACCAGAUAAAGUGGAGCAACUUGGGUAUAUGACUUGUGACCUCACAAAACUCAGAUGGAUGGUGACUACAUAGAGUCAAACGCCUGUCAACGAGAGGAAGGCAGUCAUGAGUGAUCAUCUCUGGUCAAACGCAUUGCCUCGGCAUCACUACAGACAGCUUAAUCAGCAGAAUCUUGAAAGCGGGAAUUCAUCGCUCAUUACUUUGCUUGCUAUCAGCAAUUAGCAGUGGGAGGUAUGAUCGUGCAUCCAAGAGCCAAGAUCAAUCCGUCCAUCUGUGCUUCUCUACUUGAGGCCAGUCCGGUCCUUACAUUCACUGAGAGGAAUGUAGAUGAAAUGCAUUUCUUGAUUUUACAAAGUUGCAUUAGAUUGCUUGCUUGAUUUAUUUUUUGAUUGAUUGUUUGGAAAGGUAAUGGGACAUUAGAAGGUGUUUAUGUGCCAAAUAUUUUUCUGUUCAUAUUUAGUACAGUGCUAAUUGUUUACAGUGCCACUACUUAUUGAGUCUCAUGUAAUUUGCGGGUCACUAGCAUCACUAAAUGUGAUAGCAAAAUAUUUACUUUUCAAUAGGUUUACUAAACACUUCCUCUUACUGUAUAUUAAUGCACUACCAAACAGAUAGUCCUACAAAAAAAAACUAAGUGUUACCCUACGGAACAAUGAUGGUGUCAUAUUGUUACUCCACGAUGCUUUGAUACAUACUAUAUAUUAGAGGUGUCACAAUAUACCGUUUUGUUAAUAAUCUUGUUAUAUUAAUAAUAGGGCUGACGCGUUACCGCAUGCCAUUAAUGUUUUUCAGAUUAAUGCGUAAAAAAUAUUUAACGCAGCAUCCAUUUGUUUUGUCAUUCUUUGUCUAGCGUUACAUUAUAUAAUCACGCUCUUAUUCAUGUAAAGGCUUUUAAACAAUUUAAGCUCGAUUUGAAACGGUUGCUUUGACGUGUUCGGUGUAGAUAGACAGCUUCAAACUGUGGGACGCGGCAAAACGCUACGUGACAGCAGUCCAGUGUGGUGUAUAUAGUCAAGGGGUAAAGUCUGCGUCAGUGAAUCUCUGUCAGAAUCAGUCAGACAGCGCACCAGUAUUAAGUUCUCUUUAGUGCUUGAAUGAAAAAAAAAAACACACCACAUUAUGCCAGAAAGCCCGUUUUGAGCAUUUUCGUAAGCACAGACUUCAACGUGUUAAACGAAUGCAAAGAGUUGUGAAAACCGGAGAGGCAUCAGACCUGUGUAAAAGGAUGGCUCUUGAAGGGGUCGCAUUCUUAAACCUGCUGCUGUGACUCCUGUCAUUGAUGUUAAUCAAAGAACAAAAGAAAAGAGGAAUUCAAUGUGUUUUGUAAAUUCUUCUGUAUUUAAUUUAGAAUUAUUUAGCAUAAAAAACUGUAAAGUGUUUGAGAACUUCAUUCAAUUUCUGUAUAUUUCCCCAUGAUAGCUCUCUAUUACACUGUUGAAUGGCUAUAAUUAAUGUUAAAAUAAAUAAAAAAGAAUCAAUUUAAUAGAGACAUGAUAGACAUCGGUUGCAGUACUAAUAUCAGAAUGUUGGCUUUCAUUCAUAAAAUGAUGCUGUUAAACAAAUAUGUUGUACAUUAAUUUGAAGAUUAAACGUGAAAUUAUUAGAAAGUAAAAGUAUAUUUAAAAACAUUAAAGUUAUGUUUAAUCAGCGUGAUUAAUGUGAUUAAUCAGAUUAUUUUUUUAAUCGAUUGACAGCACUAAUUAAUAACAGUGAUGAUCUAUAAUCUGUUUAUACUUAUACACAUGAUAAUAACGUGAGUUAUCCAGCUCCAGUAUCUGGUUGACACUUUCACAUGGCGGGUUUGCACCUGUUUAACAUGGUUACCAUCACUCCCUCCAACUUCCAGUACUUGUCUUUAAAGGAUGAUUCAUGCGCCAAAAAAAUAUAUAUUGCAUUAGUAUAGUUAUUGUAGAUUUUUCUGGCCCUGACAAUCCUGAAAGUCUGUUAUUGUAACAGUCCUAAUACAACUCAUUUAACCUUAAAUCUGAUGAGAAAAAUAGAUGCUGCUAAUUGUUUUUUCCACUGCAAAUCGAUUGGAUCUAGAAAUAUACACUUUUCCAUCAGAAAUGGAGUUGGCAGCACACUUAGGAUGGGUUUGAGGGGAGGGGUUAAUGGAUUUUGUGCCCAAAACUUCAAACUGAUGUCAUCAGAGAAGGAUCAAUGCUCUAGACCGCAAAUACAUUUUCAGAUUUUGUGUUUACAGAGACUUUUCUAUGGAUGAACUUGCACAGAUAAAUUGUUCAUUACAAAAAUAGUAAUGUUUGCUAACAAAGUAAAUAGUCCAUUUUGAUUUCAUCUUUUUAGGAAUGACACAAAAUGAUUUUCAAAAUAAUACCAUUGUAUUUUCAUUUAACGUGUACAAAAAUAUGGUAAUACCAUGGUACAUUUAGGUUUUUGUUAUUGUUUGUCAGUGAUAUUACAUUCUUGAAUUAAAUUGUCUGGAAUGAUUCAGGCAACAGGAGCUGUGUGCUAUUUUCAAAAAGGAAUCUGAUUAGGAAACUAAACAUAGGCACCGUAUGACGGUAACAAAUUCGAAA